This 720-nucleotide ribosomal RNA is filed under the name Bacillus subtilis. Its description in RNAcentral is "bacterial SSU rRNA". It matches the Rfam family "Bacterial small subunit ribosomal RNA", at positions 61 to 763 of the family's 1533-position model. The record is from RNAcentral. Lineage: Bacteria; Bacillati; Bacillota; Bacilli; Caryophanales; Bacillaceae.
GUCGAGCGGACAGAUGGGAGCUUGCUCCCUGAUGUUAGCGGCGGACGGGUGAGUAACACGUGGGUAACCUGCCUGUAAGACUGGGAUAACUCCGGGAAACCGGGGCUAAUACCGGAUGGUUGUUUGAACCGCAUGGUUCAAACAUAAAAGGUGGCUUCGGCUACCACUUACAGAUGGACCCGCGGCGCAUUAGCUAGUUGGUGAGGUAACGGCUCACCAAGGCAACGAUGCGUAGCCGACCUGAGAGGGUGAUCGGCCACACUGGGACUGAGACACGGCCCAGACUCCUACGGGAGGCAGCAGUAGGGAAUCUUCCGCAAUGGACGAAAGUCUGACGGAGCAACGCCGCGUGAGUGAUGAAGGUUUUCGGAUCGUAAAGCUCUGUUGUUAGGGAAGAACAAGUACCGUUCGAAUAGGGCGGUACCUUGACGGUACCUAACCAGAAAGCCACGGCUAACUACGUGCCAGCAGCCGCGGUAAUACGUAGGUGGCAAGCGUUGUCCGGAAUUAUUGGGCGUAAAGGGCUCGCAGGCGGUUUCUUAAGUCUGAUGUGAAAGCCCCCGGCUCAACCGGGGAGGGUCAUUGGAAACUGGGGAACUUGAGUGCAGAAGAGGAGAGUGGAAUUCCACGUGUAGCGGUGAAAUGCGUAGAGAUGUGGAGGAACACCAGUGGCGAAGGCGACUCUCUGGUCUGUAACUGACGCUGAGGAGCGAAAGCGUG